AUGGCUGCAACUUGGCUUUGUAACAUCGUAGUGAAGACCCCAAUCAACAAGGGUCAUCUUGAUCUCUGCAGCAUGAGUGUCCAGUGUAGUCCUGGUCCUGGAAGAGCUUCAGUAGAUACAGAGAAGAGCAAUAAAGAUGAUCAAAGAAAAUCUGCUUUUUAUGGACGACUGAAAGUUUGAGAGCAUGAAUGACACUGACAGGGAGCAUGUGGAAAAAUGAUGAGCUUAAGUCUUCCACAGACAUCUAGGGCUACAGAAGUAACUGUACCAAACGAGAACCACAGAUCCAGCUAGCUCAGCUCCCCGUCUCUGAUAGUAACCAAGAAUGGAUCCAGGGAAGUACAUAUGAACAUGGUAUAUGAACUGGUACUUUUUUAGUGAGCUCAUACAGUCUACAGCCUACAGGCAUCCUUGGCAUGGGAACUUCCUGAGGAAAAAUAUGACGUGCUUCCGUCUUACAACAGAGUGCAAACUGAGAGUAAUUGCAUUGAAAUUUUGUGGAGUUAUAUCCAUAUACAACCAAUAGGUAUUUCUCUUUUUCUGUGGAACCAUGCAAAACACUUGAUUUAAAUAUCUUCCAGUCCUUGUACAUUUCAUAUUGUAUUUAAAAAUAGGAUUUAUUUUUUAAGAAAAUGCCAGUUUUCUU
Molecule: long non-coding RNA, 646 nt
Filed under: Numida meleagris (helmeted guineafowl)
Lineage: Eukaryota; Metazoa; Chordata; Aves; Galliformes; Numididae
Description: lncRNA (ENSNMEG00000013363.1)
Source: RNAcentral